RNAcentral lists this ribosomal RNA (773 nucleotides) under uncultured bacterium. Its description in RNAcentral is "bacterial SSU rRNA". It matches the Rfam family "Bacterial small subunit ribosomal RNA", at positions 651 to 1425 of the family's 1533-position model. The record is from RNAcentral.
UCAGAGGGAGGUAGAAUNCCACGUGUAGCAGUGAAAUGCGUAGAGAUGUGGAGGAAUACNGAUGGCGAAGGCAGCCUCCUGGGAUAACACUGACGUUCAUGCCCGAAAGCGUGGGUAGCAAACAGGAUUAGAUACCCUGGUAGUNCACGCCCUAAACGAUGUCGAUUAGCUGUUGGGCAGCAUGACUGCUUAGUAGCGAAGCUAACGCGUGAAAUCGACCGCCUGGGGAGUACGGUCGCAAGAUUAAAACUCAAAGGAAUUGACGGGGACCCGCACAAGCGGUGGAUGAUGUGGAUUAAUUCGAUGCAACGCGAAGAACCUUACCUGGUCUUGACAUGUACGGAACCCUCCAGAGACGGAGGGGUGCCUUCGGGAGCCGUAACACAGGUGCUGCAUGGCUGUCGUCAGCUCGUGUCGUGAGAUGUUGGGUUAAGUCCCGCAACGAGCGCAACCCUUGUCAUUAGUUGCCAUCAUUAAGUUGGGCACUCUAAUGAGACUGCCGGUGACAAGCCGGAGGAAGGUGGGGAUGACGUCAAGUCCUCAUGGCCCUUAUGACCAGGGCUUCACACGUCAUACAAUGGUCGGUACAGAGGGUAGCCAAGCCGCGAGGUGGAGCCAAUCUCACAAAACCGAUCGUAGUCCGGAUUGCACUCUGCAACUCGAGUGCAUGAAGUCGGAAUCGCUAGUAAUCGCAGGUCAGCAUACUGCGGUGAAUACGUUCCCGGGUCUUGUACACACCGCCCGUCACACCAUGGGAGUGGGGGAUACCAGAA